CCCCCCGUGAGAAUGCCCUUUAGUCCCCUGCCCGGGGAAAAGGAGCCGGUAUCAGGCACUACCAACUGAAGCCCACGACACCUUGCCCACAGCCACACCCUCAAGGGAAUUCAGCAGUGAUAAAUAUUAAGCAAUAAGUGAAAACUUGACUUAGAUAGGGCUAAUUGAGGGCCGGUAAACCUCGUGCCAGCCACCGCGGUUAUACGAAGGGCCCAAAUUGAUAGCCAUCGGCGUAAAGGGUGGUUAAGAUUAUAUUCAAAUAAAGCCAAAUGCCUUCAAAGCUGUAAUAAGCAUCCGAAGAUAAGAGGCUCAACUACGAAAGUGGCUUUACAAGAUCUGACCCCACGAAAGCUAGGGCACAAACUGGGAUUAGAUACCCCACUAUGCCUAGCCGUAAACAAUGACAAUGUACCACCCCCCAUUGUCCGCCCGGGAACUAAAAGCACGAGCUUGAAACCCAAAGGACUUGGCGGUGCUUAAAAUCCACCUAGAGGAGCCUGUUCUAGAACCGAUAACCCCCGUUCAACCUCACCCUUUCUUGUUAUCCCC
This 549-nucleotide ribosomal RNA is filed under the name Chaunax abei. RNAcentral describes it as "partial 12S ribosomal RNA". It matches the Rfam family "Bacterial small subunit ribosomal RNA", at positions 194 to 991 of the family's 1533-position model. The record is from RNAcentral. Lineage: Eukaryota; Metazoa; Chordata; Actinopteri; Lophiiformes; Chaunacidae.